Molecule: small nucleolar RNA, 117 nt
Organism: Rhinopithecus bieti (black snub-nosed monkey)
Lineage: Eukaryota; Metazoa; Chordata; Mammalia; Primates; Cercopithecidae
Source: Ensembl
AUUGGUUGAAAAUCACCCCCGGGCUUUGGCCACGGCUGCAGGCGAGAUUCAAUGCCCAGAGCCUCAGCUCACCACACACUGCCCCGUGUGUGGCGGUGAAACCCAGGCCCCAGCGGA